AGUGGCGAACGGGUGAGUAACACGUGGACAACCUGCCCGGAUGUGGGGGACAACUUUUGGAAACGGAAGCUAAUACCGCAUUCGCUCGGAGAUCGCAUGGUCUCCGAGGAAAGGCCGCUUCGGCGGUCGCAUCCGGAGGGGUCCGCGGCUGAUUAGCUAGUUGGUGAGGUAACGGCUCACCAAGGCGACGAUCAGUAGCCGGCCUGAGAGGGCGAUCGGCCACACUGGAACUGAGACACGGUCCAGACUCCUACGGGAGGCAGCAGUGGGGAAUAUUGGACAAUGGGGGAAACCCUGAUCCAGCAACGCCGCGUGGAGGAUGAAGGCCCUCGGGUUGUAAACUCCUGUCAGGUGGAACGAAAAGCUCUAUCUAAUAAAUAGAGUCUAUGACGGUACCACCAGAGGAAGCCCCGGCUAACUCCGUGCCAGCAGCCGCGGUAAUACGGAGGGGGCGAGCGUUAUUCGGAAUUAUUGGGCGUAAAGGGCGCGUAGGCGGUCUUUUAAGUCAGGGGUGAAAUCCCUCGGCUCAACCGAGGAACUGCCUCUGAAACUGAAAGACUUGAGACCGGGAGAGGGUGGUGGAAUUCCCAGUGUAGCGGUGAAAUGCGUAG
This 611-nucleotide ribosomal RNA is filed under the name uncultured Bacillota bacterium. RNAcentral describes it as "bacterial SSU rRNA". It matches the Rfam family "Bacterial small subunit ribosomal RNA", at positions 94 to 693 of the family's 1533-position model. Lineage: Bacteria; Bacillati; Bacillota. The record is from RNAcentral.